This 84-nucleotide transfer RNA is filed under the name [Ashbya] aceris (nom. inval.). RNAcentral's name for it is "tRNA-Leu (TAA) (tRNA-Leu-TAA-1-1, tRNA-Leu-TAA-1-2)". It matches the Rfam family "tRNA". Rfam says of the family: Transfer RNA (tRNA) molecules are approximately 80 nucleotides in length. Lineage: Eukaryota; Fungi; Ascomycota; Saccharomycetes; Saccharomycetales; Saccharomycetaceae. The record is from RNAcentral.
GGAGGGUUGGCCGAGUGGUCUAAGGCGGCAGACUUAAGAUCUGUUGGACGGUUGUCCGCGCGGGUUCGAAACCCGCACCCUUCA